UUUGUACUCCCUCCGUCCCAAAAUUCUUGUCUUAAAUUUGUCUAAAUACGGAUGUAUCUAUUUACAUUUUAGUGUUAGAUACAUCUGUAUCUAAACAAAUGUAAGACAAGAAUUUUGGGACGGGGGGAAUACUAC
Molecule: non-coding RNA, 135 nt
Organism: Triticum aestivum (bread wheat)
Lineage: Eukaryota; Viridiplantae; Streptophyta; Magnoliopsida; Poales; Poaceae
Source: Rfam